Molecule: transfer RNA, 74 nt
Filed under: Betaproteobacteria bacterium
Lineage: Bacteria; Pseudomonadati; Pseudomonadota; Betaproteobacteria
Also listed under: 2 other names
Description: tRNA-Arg
Rfam family: tRNA
About the family: Transfer RNA (tRNA) molecules are approximately 80 nucleotides in length. Their secondary structure includes four short double-helical elements and three loops (D, anti-codon, and T loops). Further hydrogen bonds mediate the characteristic L-shaped molecular structure. tRNAs have two regions of fundamental functional importance: the anti-codon, which is responsible for specific mRNA codon recognition, and the 3' end, to which the tRNAs corresponding amino acid is attached (by aminoacyl-tRNA synthetases). tRNAs cope with the degeneracy of the genetic code in two manners: having more than one tRNA (with a specific anti-codon) for a particular amino acid; and 'wobble' base-pairing, i.e. permitting non-standard base-pairing at the 3rd anti-codon position.
Source: RNAcentral
GUCCCGAUAGCUCAGCUGGAUAGAGCAGCAGCCUUCUAAGCUGCAGGUCGGUGGUUCGAAUCCACCUCGGGACG